AGUCGGGGGUCUCCCUAUGUUUCCCAGGCUGGCCUCGAACUCCUGACCUCAAGUGAUCCUCCCACCUCAGCCUCCCCGAGUGCUGGGAUUAAAGACGUGAGCCACGGCACCUGGCCUGAAUUUUCCUCAAAUUCAAAAAAUCCUGAUGAAGGUUUGGCUAAAAUCUUUGGCUAUUCCCAACAGAAGAGCUUGAACAAUGCUGCAUUUGCAUCAGGUUCAAAUGAGCGAGAGGAACAUUUGGCUAAAAUAUUUGACACUUAAGGAAACUUUUAUCAGGUCAUUGACUAACUUCAGAGAUAAGAAAACAGAAAAUUCAGCACUUUCACACAACAAGAAGUACGCACUUUGCAAAACUAGUUUGGAAAAGUUACAAAAAGAUGGCUUCAGCCUUCAAUAAGCAAAAAUCAACAAUCACUGAAAGAGAGGAUUAGAUUUCCAGAGUUAUCAAAAUGUAAUACACAGAAUGUCCAUCUCUCAACGUAAAAUUAUAAAACAUACAAAGAAACAGGAAAGGAUGGCUCAUUCACAGGAAAAA
RNAcentral lists this unclassified non-coding RNA (535 nucleotides) under Homo sapiens (human). Its description in RNAcentral is "chromosome 2 open reading frame 92 (ENSG00000291598.1)". The record is from RNAcentral. Lineage: Eukaryota; Metazoa; Chordata; Mammalia; Primates; Hominidae.